UACGGAGGGGGCGAGCGUUAUUCGGAAUUAUUGGGCGUAAAGGGCGCGUAGGCGGCCCGGUAAGUCAAAGGUGAAAUCCCUCGGCUCAACUGAGGAACUGCCUUUGAAACUGUCAGGCUUGAGGCCGGGAGGGGGUAGCGGAAUUCCCAGUGUAGCGGUGAAAUGCGUAGAUAUUGGGAGGAACACCGGUGGCGAAGGCGGCUACCUGGACCAUAACUGACGCUGAGGCACGAAAGCGUGGGUAGCAAACAGG
RNAcentral lists this ribosomal RNA (253 nucleotides) under uncultured bacterium. RNAcentral's name for it is "partial 16S ribosomal RNA". It matches the Rfam family "Bacterial small subunit ribosomal RNA", at positions 524 to 776 of the family's 1533-position model. The record is from RNAcentral.